This is a non-coding RNA of Flexistipes sinusarabici DSM 4947, 350 nucleotides long. It matches the Rfam family "transfer-messenger RNA". Rfam says of the family: Bacterial tmRNA, also known as 10Sa RNA or SsrA, is named for its dual tRNA and mRNA-like properties. Its role is to liberate the mRNA from a stalled ribosome. The record is from Rfam. Lineage: Bacteria; Pseudomonadati; Deferribacterota; Deferribacteres; Deferribacterales; Flexistipitaceae.
GGGGGUGAAAUGGUUUCGACGGGAAGUGUAGGUUUAAGGAGCAUGCCGAGGUUCGGUACCUCGUAAAACAGCCGAACCAUAAUAGUUGCAAACGACGAAUUUGCACUCGCUGCUGCGUAGAUAGCAGCGACGUCCUUGCAAAGUUUGCCUGUGACUUUGCAAAGGGCGCCAACCCAGCAGGCUGGCUCACUUUGAUGCCUCUAAAAAGUGAGUGAGACUUAAGAGGCUAACCAUUUCUUCCACCUGUCAGCGGGCAGAAGAAAUGGGACAUCUCAAACGCUGACUAAGCAUGUAGCCGCCUUAAAUUGAAACUUAACCGGACGCGGGUUCGAUUCCCGCCACCUCCAUUU